This is a long non-coding RNA of Lingula anatina, 664 nucleotides long. RefSeq lists it as uncharacterized. The record is from RefSeq and is a predicted model, not a curated record. Lineage: Eukaryota; Metazoa; Brachiopoda; Lingulata; Lingulida; Lingulidae.
AAGUAGGCCGCGAUAUUUUUUCAUUACUUCGUAAUUUUGAUAAAAACUUUUUUCUGUGAAACCAUACGAGAUAAGAAUAACACGGAAUAUUAUCUUCAUAUUUCUCAAAAUUUUAUCGGGUAAUGUACAAAUCGCAUUGCUCUGAAGAGUGGAGAUCUACGAGAGGGAGACAAAAACUGAAAAGGACCCAGUUUAACAGCUUUUUAGGGAAGGGUUUCGUUGGACGUUAAUAACGAAAACUUCCGGAUCAGGGAUCUUGUCAAGUUGUGGAAUAUAGACUUGUUCUUAUGACAAUUAAAAAGAAAAAGGAAAACAUCUGUAAAUGACAGUGAGUGCUAAAUGAAGACCUUUUCAGACGAAAAUUUUGGGUAACUGACUGUGAAAUGAUUAUUAAAAUCAUAUUAAAUGAUAUUUUAUAAUUAUUAAAUAAUAUUUUAUGAUAUUACACAGUAGUACAGUAUUAUACGAGAUCAACUUUUGACACAAUAUAUCUAUGGGGAUAAAUAUGACAUUAUACUGGUGUCAUUGUGCUAGUGGAUACAAUUUUUAUGAUAAGUUUGCUAUAUUGACACACAUUCAUCUCUCAGAAUUUUUGAUAAGGAAACUGAGAAUAAAGUGCAAAUACGGCACUCAUGGUGAAACACAUCUUUUUUGCCGGGUCAGU